AUUGAACGCUGGCGGCAUGCCUUACACAUGCAAGUCGAACGGCAGCACGGGAGCAAUCCUGGUGGCGAGUGGCGAACGGGUGAGUAAUAUAUCGGAACGUGCCCAGUCGUGGGGAUAACGUAGCGAAAGCUACGCUAAUACCGCAUACGAUCUACGGAUGAAAGUGGGGGAUCGCAAGACCUCAUGCUCAUGGAGCGGCCGAUAUCUGAUUAGCUAGUUGGUGGGGUAAAGGGCCUACCAAGGCAUCGAUCAGUAGCUGGUCUGAGAGGACGGCCAGCCACACUGGAACUGAGACACGGUCCAGACUCCUACGGGAGGCAGCAGUGGGGAAUUUUUGGGACAAUGGGGGCAACCCUGAUCCAGCAAUGCCGCGUGAGUGAAGAAGG
This 386-nucleotide ribosomal RNA is filed under the name uncultured bacterium. Its description in RNAcentral is "bacterial SSU rRNA". It matches the Rfam family "Bacterial small subunit ribosomal RNA", at positions 30 to 414 of the family's 1533-position model. The record is from RNAcentral.